AUCUGGAGGAUUUUCACGAGUUCUUGCAUAAGUCCUCAUCUACAAGAAAUCAAUUAGCAUAUCAAAUUAUUAUAAGAUGAUUGUUAUAAUACCAACCAGAUGCAAAAUCUUCAGCAUGCAUAACGUUUAUAAUGGGAAAAUUAGCUGAUUACAUAAGAGGAAACUUCAACAUCUUGAACACUAUGUCACUAAAUUAAAUCAUGUGAAUUAAAAGCAAAAGUAACCAAGCAAGAAUGUCACAUUGGACUAGACCAAAGGAAACACAUUACUGGCCAGUUCAAGCCUUUUCCAUGGUUUCUUGAAACAGUGGGGGAAAGAUCUUACUAUAACAUACAACAGAUUUUCCUGUUUUCUGUCUUAUUCGACUCCAACUAAUUUGGGAUUAAAGCUUGGUUGUUGUUGUUGUAUGCAUCCUUUGGUAUGCAUAUACCUCACUGAUCUAAGAGACUAAUCAUGAUAUGUGAGAAUGAAUUAAUCACAUUUAACAGCACCAGAAAUUAAUCACAUUUAACAGCACCAGAAUUCCAGCCUUUCCAGGUAGCUUUUAGGCCCUAACCAAAAGUAUAACCAGGGACUUUGUGGCCCAAACAGCCCAUUGGUGGAGAUAAAAUUUUUAUUUAUUCAAGAACAAUUCAUCAAUUCAUGGACAUGAUGUUACCUAACGAUCCCAUUCAGAACCAUCAACCAUGGAAAUUGAGAUAACUGAGGAAUCAGAUACUGUACAUACCUUAGUUCCAGAGAUGAAGAGGAA
This 751-nucleotide unclassified non-coding RNA is filed under the name Hevea brasiliensis (rubber tree). Lineage: Eukaryota; Viridiplantae; Streptophyta; Magnoliopsida; Malpighiales; Euphorbiaceae. The record is from RNAcentral.